This 465-nucleotide ribosomal RNA is filed under the name Vreelandella stevensii. Its description in RNAcentral is "partial 16S ribosomal RNA". It matches the Rfam family "Bacterial small subunit ribosomal RNA", at positions 338 to 795 of the family's 1533-position model. Lineage: Bacteria; Pseudomonadati; Pseudomonadota; Gammaproteobacteria; Oceanospirillales; Halomonadaceae. The record is from RNAcentral.
CCUACGGGUGGCUGCAGUGGGGAAUAUUGGACAAUGGGGGGAACCCUGAUCCAGCCAUGCCGCGUGCGUGAAGAAGGCCCUCGGGUUGUAAAGCACUUUCAGUGAGGAAGAACGCCUGGUGGUUAAUACCCAUCAGGAAAGACAUCACUCACAGAAGAAGCACCGGCUAACUCCGUGCCAGCAGCCGCGGUAAUACGGAGGGUGCGAGCGUUAAUCGGAAUUACUGGGCGUAAAGCGCGCGUAGGUGGCUUGAUAAGCCGGUUGUGAAAGCCCCGGGCUCAACCUGGGAACGGCAUCCGGAACUGUCAAGCUAGAGUGCAGGAGAGGAAGGUAGAAUUCCCGGUGUAGCGGUGAAAUGCGUAGAGAUCGGGAGGAAUACCAGUGGCGAAGGCGGCCUUCUGGACUGACACUGACACUGAGGUGCGAAAGCGUGGGUAGCAAACAGGAUUAGAUACCCGGGUAGUC